CAAAUGGGAGCCCGAGGUGAUUGGAGGGUCAAGGGGAUGUGACGCGUCCCGCGCCGCCGCCGCCGCCGCCGCCGCCGCCGCCGCCGCCAGGACUCUCAGCGCUGGUUUUAAUGGGCAGCUCCUUCUUCACCGCCCCCCUCCCGCGUGUCCCCUCCCUCGAUUUCGCUCCGAGGACGAGCUGGACAUUUAUUCUGCGUUUCCUAUCUGCCGCCUCCCUCUUUUUUCUUCCUCGUCGUCCUUCCUUUCCCUGGCUCGAAAAUAAACUGAAGCCUUCUUUUUGCAGGAGGAAUCGACGGGAUUUCUCUGCGGUUUGCGCUGCCUGUUUCCGAAUAAAUUCAGCUCUCAGGCAUCCGGCAGGAAACGGCUCCCGGUUCGAGUGUACGAAGACGCAUCGGCCCAGCACGGGAUGGGAGGUGGCUGCUGGUGCUCGUGAGGCUUGUAGGUCCGGCCUCCGAAGGAGGCUGGACUAUCAGCGCCCUCAGGCCGGGAGCGGCUCCUUGCUGCCCCACAGUGCCCGGCAGCCCCCACCUCUGGUGGUGCUUCGGAAGCCAGCCGGGCCGAGUCCGCCCGCGGCGAAAACUGAAAGCAAAUUCCGCGGCAAAUGAAGCCCAAACUUUCUUCGACGCAACUUUGCCACAACGAUUCGGUGGCGACUUAGGACGGAGCGCUAGUGUGUGCGCGCGCAAGGUGGGGCGGUGGGCGAAGAAGGCUUGGGCGGCUGAUCCUGGCCCUAGGCGAAAGGCUAGGGAAGGCGCCUCCCCUUCCUUAUUUCUUGCCAACUCCUCGGCCCCAGUCCGUAAAAAUAGUUUCCAAUGUGUAGCGGACUCCCAGGAUGUGUUUGUGGGGAUCGCACCAGGGAGAAGGAAGCGUUGUAAAAGUUGCAGAAAAAGCUUUGCCCAGAAGCGUCCGCCCGGCAGGGUUCAAGAAAGCUGGGAACCAGCUCGGCAUUCCCGGGGCGGAAUGCCUAGAAAUCGGCUUGGGGAGUCCCCAGCCCAGUCCUCUCCCCUCACCUCGAACCCGCGCGUAAAUAACCUCCCGCAGUCUGCGCUGGAAACCCACAAGCGCAGCGCAGCGGUUGGCUGGCGAGGCCCGGACGCUGAGCCGGCCCGCAAGGCCGCUCCUUGGCGCGCUCAGCCCCAGUCCUAAGAGAGGCUUGAACCGAGGUGAGAGGAAGAGUUUGGUUUCAGCUCCUGCUUGGCUGCCUAGACCAUCACCGCCGACCUCCCAACUCCUUGGAGCGGGCGCUUCCCCCCUGGGAGCGGCAGUCUUGGGGGGCUGGCCAGGGCGCAAAGUGCGCGCGCGGGCCAGCGCGGGGGUGGGGGGGCGGCUGCCGGUCUCUCCGCGGGGCCUGUCGCCGGGCCGGCCGCGGCGGGUGAGUGAUGAGGGCAGAGAAGGGCGCCCAUAAAUCGCGGGUGUCAGGGCGAAAAACUCUCUUUAUUGUCUGCGUGAUGGAUGGGCCCGGGGACGAGACACCAAAUACUUCGUAUCGCCUUUAAAUGGGAACACAUUUUCCGCGGCCAUAAUUCAUGUUUUUUAAAUAGAAAGUUUGAAAUGUUGCCUAUAUUUCACCGGCCCUGACAUAUUUAUGAAUCGCUCCCUGCAUGCAAAUAUCAUUAUUUAAAGCGCCGGGGAGAGCUCGGGGGGGAGGGGAGGAGGCACGGCCCCCGUGGCGUGGAGGUGGUGAACCGGGGAAAUGCGGAUGGAGGGGGUGGUGCAUCUCCCUAAAGUGAGGACAAUAAGGCGCGGGGGAAAGCCUUAUCCGGAAGCCCAGCGCUCCAGGGGCUCCACUCCCGCCGCUGGACCGAGCACUGUCGCUCCGGGAAGUUUGAGCGGCUUGGGACCGAGGACAGGCCCCCCCACCCCGUCCCCUGCGGGGAGAUCCGGGGGCUUUUGCGUCCCUCUCCGAGGCCCUGAUCCGAGCCAAAGCUACCUUUUCCAAGAAGAAAAUGUUUUUUUUUUUAAAUAAAAGAAUUUAACAAACGCA
Long non-coding RNA from Ursus americanus (American black bear), 1984 nucleotides. NCBI's taxonomy places the organism in Eukaryota, Metazoa, Chordata, Mammalia, Carnivora, Ursidae. The record is from Ensembl.